Molecule: unclassified non-coding RNA, 227 nt
Filed under: Phylloporus sp.
Lineage: Eukaryota; Fungi; Basidiomycota; Agaricomycetes; Boletales; Boletaceae
Description: partial contains small subunit ribosomal RNA, internal transcribed spacer 1, and 5.8S ribosomal RNA
Rfam family: Eukaryotic small subunit ribosomal RNA (bases 1-46)
Source: RNAcentral
AAGUCGUAACAAGGUUUCCGUAGGUGAACCUGCGGAAGGAUCAUUACAAAAAUAUGAGAAUAUACCCUGUGGCAACGUUGUUUCCUGUGUGUGAAUGUGUGUGCAUAUUAUUACAUAAUACAUUACACUACAUUCAAACCACAGGACAAAUUCAUCCUUAAACACACGAUCGACAAGCAAGAAUUCAUAUAAAAAAACCACUUUUAACAAUGGAUCUCUUGGCUCUU